GCUAGGUUUGGACCUGGUGCCUUACUAGUGA
Molecule: non-coding RNA, 31 nt
Filed under: Rattus norvegicus (Norway rat)
Lineage: Eukaryota; Metazoa; Chordata; Mammalia; Rodentia; Muridae
Source: RNAcentral